GGGGGGCCUCAGUUGGCAUCAAACAGCAACAUCGUGCCGUUGAUAAACCCGGAGCGAAGGCGCUUAAACUAUCCUAACAAAGGACAUCUCGAACAGUUCCUUAUCAUCUCAAGACCGCUCUGCAAUCCUGCAUGCUGUACUGUUGCGGAAGUAAGGACGAGGAGAAGGAGCGCACGGAAAAGGACGAUGUUUUACUGAAAAGGGUGACAGAAUCUUCAGUGAAGAAUCCUGGCAACACCUUUCACUCGGAGUCCGAGAUGUACGGAUCCGUGGGCAUGCCCGAACUUCUGCCUCCUAGUGGGGUGUUUCAGCCAAGUCCCCAUGACCCGUGUCAGGUGCGACAACUGACUGGUGACCUAAACCAAGGCACUAUAGACCCCAACUCACACCAGCAGAGGUUAGGCCGAAGGGCUCCGAAGCUGGGACAAAUCGGACGGUCAAAGAGAGUGGUCAUUGAAGAUGAGGACUUGGAUGACAUCAUGAACAACAAUGAAACACUAUCCUUCCCUAUCAGCCACUCGCCCGCCUGAAUACCUUAAUCAUGGAAUUCAGUUCAACUUUUGGCUUAACAUUUAUGACGCCCCGAGGCUACUCUGGUCAGCGGGCAAAACCUGGACACUGUUUCUUGAAGUCUUAAAUACGUUGUAGUACUUUAGCAGCAUGCGCAUCACAUGUAGUUUAGUCGCAAGGCUCUGUUGUCACCGGGAAAGAUCUGAUGAAAUGUGAAACUUUGGUGCGAGUCUGCUGCAGUUGUCCAGGUGCGUUAGCGUGAGGUUGUCGGCAGGGUUCGCUGAUAUACCAAGCACGCAAUUGCACAAUUUUUUUCAGGUAGCAUACACAACACAGACAACACUGUGAACGAGUAGGCCUAGAUGUUUUUAACAUUGACUAGCCUACUUUCGCGGUCCUAGCAAAGUAUCGAAAAUAUAGAUGCAACGUUGUACACAGCCUACUCUCUAUACGGAUAUUCAUUGUUAUAAUUAGUGUUUCCCCUACAAGUUAUUCAACCAUAAAUGGAAAUUAGCUGUGAGAAUAUUCAUUGGUAUUGUUAAGACGUGAAUCAUGUUUACAUCAUAUUAUGCAAAAUAAUGCCUUAUAUGUUCAUGGAUAUGUCAGUCACUGCCAUUGACUUUAAAGAUUAUUUUAACGUAUUUUUCUAAAACACACCUGACAUGUAUUCUUGAUUGUUAUUCAUUUAAUUAUGUCGAGAGUGCAUAAUGCCCAUAUUACGCACAAAUAUUUUACGCACAAAUUAUGUAUCAACCGUUUUACGUUAGACUGGCUUACCUAGUUUUCUGAAUUUCGCUGAUUAGAGAAACCACUAGCACUGUGAGUUUGUAUAGCUUACAUCUCUCUCUCCCUCACACACACACACAGACACACUAACACUCCAUGAGAUUAUAGGUUAUGUUGUCGGUAAAAGAGGUUAUCAGUAGGCUAUUUAGUUUGGUGCUGGCCUUUCACUACAGCUUUGAAGGUACCUCAAUAAAACAGACUGCAUCCCCAUCAAUUGCAUAUCUUACCACAUAAAAAGCAUGUCGGUUCUGUUGCGUCCUUUUGUUUAAUGUACAAUAUGACCUUUAAAGGCUGCUGCUGUACCUGAGGAACUUAACUGUUGUAUUUCACCACCAGGGGGUGUCAAAGCCAAAGCAAUGACUAGAAUGUGCUUCAUGCAGGUGUCAAUUCCUCGCAUGCUUGUUUCAAACGCUGUGCUAUUUGUGUACAUAUUUAAUUUCUCUAUGUCUUGACUGAUUAAAUCUAAUAAUCAUUUUGAACUCUGUC
Long non-coding RNA from Sardina pilchardus (European sardine), 1782 nucleotides. RefSeq lists it as uncharacterized. The transcript is spliced from 3 exons. Lineage: Eukaryota; Metazoa; Chordata; Actinopteri; Clupeiformes; Clupeidae. The record is from RefSeq and is a predicted model, not a curated record.